Molecule: ribosomal RNA, 468 nt
Filed under: uncultured bacterium
Lineage: Bacteria
Description: partial 16S ribosomal RNA
Rfam family: Bacterial small subunit ribosomal RNA
Source: RNAcentral
GACGAACGCUGGCGGCGUGCUUAACACAUGCAAGUCGAACGGAAAGGCCCUGCUUUUGUGGGGUGCUCGAGUGGCGAACGGGUGAGUAACACGUGAGUAACCUGCCCUUGACUUUGGGAUAACCUCAGGACACUGGGGCUAAUACCGGAUAGGAGCUCCUGCUGCUUGGUGGGGGUUGGAAAGUUUCGGCGGUUGGGGAUGGACUCGCGGCUUAUCAGCUUGUUGGUGGGGUAGUGGCUUACCAAGGCUGUGACGGGUAGCCGGCCUGAGCGGGUGACCGGCAACAAUGGGACUGCGGUACGGCGCAGACUCCUACGGGAGGCAGCAGUGGGGAAUAUUGCACAAUGGGCGGAAGCCUGAUGCAGCAACGCCGCGUGCGGGAUGACGGCCUUCGGGUUGUAAACCGCUUUCGCCUGUGACGAAGCGGGAGUGACGGUAAUGGGUAAAGAAGCACCGGCUAACUACGUG